GUGGGGAAUAUUGAACAAUGGGCGAAAGCCUGAUCCAGCCAUGCCGCGUGUGUGAAGAAGGUCUUCGGAUUGUAAAGCACUUUAAGUUGGGAGGAAGGGCAGUAAGUUAAUACCUUGCUGUUUUGACGUUACCGACAGAAUAAGCACCGGCUAACUUCGUGCCAGCAGCCGCGGUAAUACGAAGGGUGCAAGCGUUAAUCGGAAUUACUGGGCGUAAAGCGCGCGUAGGUGGUUUUGUAAGUUGGAGGUGAAAUCCCCGGGCUCAACCUGGGAACUGCCUCCAAAACUGCAUGACUAGAGUACGGUAGAGGGUAGUGGAAUUUCCUGUGUAGCGGUGAAAUGUGUAGAUAUAGGAAGGAACACCAGUGGCGAAGGCGACUACCUGGACUGAUACUGACACUGAGGUGCGAAAGCGUGGGGAGCAAACAGGAUUAGAAACCCUGGUAGUCC
This 450-nucleotide ribosomal RNA is filed under the name uncultured bacterium. Its description in RNAcentral is "partial 16S ribosomal RNA". It matches the Rfam family "Bacterial small subunit ribosomal RNA", at positions 354 to 796 of the family's 1533-position model. The record is from RNAcentral.